This 2619-nucleotide long non-coding RNA is filed under the name Paramuricea clavata. The record is from RNAcentral. Lineage: Eukaryota; Metazoa; Cnidaria; Anthozoa; Malacalcyonacea; Plexauridae.
GUUGGUUAAGAGAUUUUAAUGCAAUAUAAUUGGUCUUUACAAAAUAAUUUAAUAAUAAAUAUCAAAAUAAAACUUGUCUUUGCGUCAAAGUAAAAUUUACAGUAAAUCUCAUUCAUAUUUAUUGUUAGAAAAUUGAUAUGGGUUAACUAAAUAAGCUAUAUUAAGGAACUUUUAUUACAUUUAAGGAUUCUCUUUCUAAUUCGAAAACGUAGAACUCGUUGUCCACUCGUUGUUGAAUUUUCGAAAAUAGUUGAUAAAGAAUUGAAAGAUAAAGAAAUUCUAUAAACUCGAGAAUGAAGGUAAUCCGACUUUAGCAGCUCGCGUGCCUUGUACGAUAUCGAGUUUAUCGAUUAAUUUUUUGCACAGUAACAGAAUUCGGGCUUUAGCUCUCUAAUGAUACCUUUUUCUGUCAUUAUAAAAGAAAAUGACCAAGUACGAAUCGAAUGAAAAUUGCCAAUAGCAAUUCUUAUUUCUCUAUCGUACAAAACUAUGGAAAAUAAAUCGCAUUUGGAUCUAAAAUUCAAGAAUUUAACUUUAAAAAUCCUGAAUUCUGAAAUUAAAUCAUUGUUGACAAAUGUGGUCACUUCUGUUUUAAUAUUAUUGAUUGGCAACAUACAUUCAGCGAUUAAUUUCCUGCUGUUUUGUUAUAUACUGCUGUAACUAUGCACAAGAUGAUUUUGACCAGCAAUUUUCGUUCGGCUCGUAUUUCGUCAUUUUUACUUGCAAUGAUACAAAAAGUGUCAUUCAAAAAAAAAUAAACCCUAAUAUUUAUUAAUAUGGAAAAAUGAAAUAUGUGUACUUAAGGUGGCUCGAUAUAGUUAUCACAACAUUUUACAAAAACAUUUUACCGAAGAGAACGACAUUUUCGCAUUUUCCGAAAAAAUAGCAUUACAAAAUUUUUUUAUAUUUUGCUAAUUGUUAGCUUUUCGUCCAAGUACAAUAAUGCACGAAAAAAAAUGGGGGUCACCAUGCUUCUUUUCCAACUAUACGAGACGAUAGACCAUUUUGGAGUAAAUUUCAUAGCAACGAACUAUCUGUUACUAAAACUAAUAUAAUUUGAAAGUAGGGAUAUCAAAAUAUGUAAAAAGCCCAAUAUCUGCUGAAUGAAUCCUAAAAAUGCGUAGUUUGAACAUGUCAAAGUGUUGAACACGUGAAUUUUUGAAAACUGUAUCGAGCCACCUUAAUAAUGAGUACAGACGAGGAAGCUAAAGUUGGAUUACCUUUUUUGGUACACCCUGUAUAGCACUUCUUCACACAAAAAUAAUUUGGUUAAGAUAAAUGCCUUCAGGCAUUCAUCACAAAUUUCAACGCCAGACAAUGAUUUAUGGAUGAAAGCAAAUCUUGCAUAAACCGUAACUGUUUUUUUAAACAUAAAUCAUAUGCAGGCGACAAAAUCUAACUAAAAAUGCCAGCGUGAAAUGCUUAAUAGUUCUGACGGCUGGUUGUAUAAAAGACAUACUUUAACUACCCGUUUUGUGGUUAAAUAGUAGUUAACUCUGAAAUACGCGAAUGUGAUUGGUUAACUUUUACACUAACUAUAGUUUAACUACAUUUUUUAUACAACCGGCCCCUGUACAAAUGCACAUUAACUUAAAUUUGGCAAUUAUUAAUUCAUUUACUAUUCAUAAUGUGAAUACAGGUCGAUGAAUUUAGUAAAAUACCGACAAAUUUUACUACACUUUUCAGCAUGCAGAGCUGAAAACUUCAGCGAGUACUUGAUGAUGCAAUUUCCCACUUGUAUUGAAAGACUGAAAAAACAGUUUUCAAAUUGAGGUGUUACACGCAAUUUUAAAGAAAAAUAUUAAAUGAAACUAAAGUCCCGUUUGAUAAUGACCAUUUGACAUAGCGGAUUACAUAUAAUAUAAAUUAAUGAAGGUGUGACAUUGCGAAGGUAGUUGCAAGAAAGUAUAUUACGAAAUUGUACGGAAAAAUAUAACUAAUUUUCUAAUUCUACUGGGUGUCCUCCAAAAAACUGGACACUGUUUGAUUUCAUGUAACGUAAAAGCUAUAAAAGCUAUCGAAAUGAAAUAAAGAUAAUUACAUCCUAACUUAGAUUUUGAUAUAUAGCACUUGAAUUUACAUGCAAUAUUGGCUGCGCUACUGAUGUUUGAACGUUGAACUACUGUUUUUGAAAAUGCCAAAAAUUAGCAUAAAACAACCUUAUAAUUACCGGUGUAGUUAUACUUGUUAAAUAAUAAAUAUUUUGAUUGUUUUUCGCUCAAUAUUGCAUGUAAAUUCAAGUGUUAUGUAUAUCACAAUCUAAGUUAGUCCUUUCUGAAUGCAAUGAUCUUUAUUUCAUUGCGAUAGCUUUUAUAGCUUUUACGUUACAUGAAAUCAAGCAGUGUCCAUGCAGGUUUUUUGGGACACCUGGUAGGCUUAUCUGGGAGGAGGCUGCGGUGUCAAAUAACUAGGGAUCCAAGGAUAGUGCAAUGUUUCUGAAAACUUGAAAAGUCAUUACGGUAAUAUCAAAUCUUUCAAACAUAUUGUUCAUAGUUUUGCAAUUCAUUUGUCCAAAUGAUUAGUUUUGUCGAUAUCCCUGUAUAUUAUUUUGUAGCAUCUCAAUUUAUUUAAUAUACAGAACGCAGACAAAAUUAUACUUACGAUAAGAUUAGGCCGAUA